This is a non-coding RNA of Aegilops tauschii subsp. strangulata, 772 nucleotides long. The record is from RefSeq and is a predicted model, not a curated record. Lineage: Eukaryota; Viridiplantae; Streptophyta; Magnoliopsida; Poales; Poaceae.
CACGUUUUCCUCUCCCAUCUGUCCCUAUCACCUCCCCCGCCUCUCUUCAAUAAUCUCUCGACCGUCGUCGCAGAGCCGGCACCUAACUAGCCCACCCCUACCUCACGUGUGGGCAGAGCCGGCGCGCGCCUACCGUAGGUCCGGUGGCCUUGAGCUCCACCGUCACCAAUAGGGGCGGCAAUGACGGAGGGCUGACGGGAUCUGGUGGCCUGAGCACAAUGGUACCAUCAGUAGAGCUCGGCCAUCAGAUCCGGUGUAGGCUCAUCUCUGGCCGGCAGCCACGCAGAUUCGGUUGAUCCCUCUCUUGGAACCCCGGCUGGUUGCUCUCCUCAUUUCUUUCUCGUUUUCUACAUCUUUGUUCAGGUUGUACGAACUGCUCGCAGCUCACAUGGUAGCUGACCUCGAGCUUGACUAGUGAGCGGAGUUGGACUGCGCAAAGUCGGCAUCCCUGCAUUGACGACUUGGACGUCCGUCGUCGUCGAGCUCCAGCUGACUUCAUCUUCCUGUGUGUUGAGCUAGACGAUGUCGACUGCACACCUGCCAACAGUGGCCUCAUCGACGGAGCCAUCAUGGUAACUGAUCACGAAGUAUGGUGAAAUUGUAGCAAGUUGAUGUCUUUUGCAGAAGCGUAUUUCUAAAGCUUAGUCUGAAGACUUCACAAUCUUAUUUUGUUUCUCUAGAUAAUAUAUACAAUGUAACUAGAAGCUAGUUAUAUUCUCAUUUUACUUGUUCCAUUGUCUCCGAAUUUCCAAUGUAUUAAUGCAUUUUUCUA